RNAcentral lists this ribosomal RNA (458 nucleotides) under uncultured bacterium. RNAcentral's name for it is "partial 16S ribosomal RNA". It matches the Rfam family "Bacterial small subunit ribosomal RNA", at positions 28 to 507 of the family's 1533-position model. The record is from RNAcentral.
GACGAACGCUGGCGGCGUGCUUCAUACAUGCAAGUCGAACGAGAAGCUGACUUCGGUCAGUGGAAAGUGGCGGACGGGUGAGUAAUAUGUAGGAAAUCUGCCUUUAGGAGGGGGACAACAGAGGGAAACUUCUGCUAAUACCCCAUAUGAGCGUAGCUGAAAUGCUAUUCUUGAAAACUCCGGUGCCUAAAGAUGAGCCUGCAUCUGAUUAGCUAGUUGGUAGUGUAAUGGACUACCAAGGCGACGAUCAGUAGCUGGUUUGAGAGGAUGAUCAGCCACAAUGGGACUGAGACACGGCCCAGACUCCUACGGGAGGCAGCAGUAGGGAAUUUUGCGCAAGGGGCGAAAGCCUGACGCAGCAUCGCCGCGUGAACGAUUAAGCCCUUCGAGGUGUAAAGUUCUGUCAGUGGGGACGAAACUUGACGGUACCCACAGAGGAAGCACCGGCUAACUCCGUG